RNA transcript from Paramisgurnus dabryanus, 2261 nucleotides. RefSeq lists it as uncharacterized. Lineage: Eukaryota; Metazoa; Chordata; Actinopteri; Cypriniformes; Cobitidae. The record is from RefSeq and is a predicted model, not a curated record.
CUAGCACGGGGUUUCCCUCUUCAACCACGCUGACGAAGGGACUUGGGAGUGGAUUUCGUCUGUUAAGAGAUUUGGAAUGCAGUGUAAGUUUUGCAAAUUUGCCCACAGUAGCAGAGAGGUCCUUUUGAAACACUACAGAUUUCACCAUUAUCAAGGACGAUCCUGGCAGCAGCCUUGCUUGUAUACUGACUGCAUCUGCACUUUCAAAACUGUAGAAUAUGCGGCUGCGUGUUGUGUUGGCCCCUGAUAAUAUUAGGAGGUUGGAUAUUUUGGAAAAUCUCACUUCAGUUGAACACUUGAAAAGAAUUCUUCAAGAAAAGCUCGAAAUCAAGGUUGACUUUUUGAUUCAAUUUGAGGAUCCAGAGUUCGGGAAUGAACUCUGUAACUUGACCAAUAUAACAGAGCUUCCACCAGAUAGAGCAGUGCUGAAGAUACUCUUGAAUCUACCUGAAGAAUCUGAAACAGAGAUCUCCAUUUCCUCUUUAGACACUGCCAGUGUGUCAGCCCCAUCCAACAGCUCAAACCAGAGUUCUCCUUCCUUUACUAUGAGACAGCGUGAAAGUUCUCAGUGGCCCUCUACUUUCCCGAUUCCCAAAUUCACGUAUGAUGUCGAGUUACGGCUUGCCAAAGGGAAUGAGAAAUUUAAAGAAGAUGGAACACUGCUCACAAUACCAAGAGAAAUGAAAAUGGAUAUCUUGGAUGCCAUAGCUCAAGCUAUUUUUUCAUUCAAAGCUUAUCCAAAUAAUCAAGAGUUGGAAUCGGUGUCUGCUGCAUUGGUUCAAAAGCAUCCAUGUCUCAAAGAUCGGGGCUCAGGAACAGGUUAUCACAGCUGGACUAUGAGCAUCAAAUAUAAGGUUGGCAACUACCGCCAGAAACUACGAUCAGUAGGUUGCUCCGAAGUCGCUGUAAACCAGAGAAGAGCGAGUGAGGAUUCUAGACGCUUGAAGAAAGCAAAGAGAUGUGAGAUAAACUUCCUCCCAGACAUUCCAAUUGGGGAGACUGAGUAUUCUCUACAAAAGGAAAGAGAUGCGCUACAGGAGGAACUAAAGAAGAAACAUCUCAACAUGGCAUUUGUUGACUCAAAAAUGGAACUGACAUUCCCACUGAGAAGAAAGUAAAUAGUCGACAAAGAACCUCUUGUGGCUGAUGUCCUAAGAGAAUGGCCAGCAUUGUUUUUGGAAGAUCAGGUAACUGCUGAGUUUUACCGGAUUACUCAAACCAACCUGAAGAGUACCUUUUUCUCAUCUUUGGAUGAAUAUGCAUCACCGAUGAUCAAGCUGUACAGAGCCUGUGGUGGAGCAUAUGGAGAGGAAAUGAAAACCCUCCUGGACCAACUUGAUAAUCAGACCUCUGAUGUCCUUGCUCAUAGAAAGGCUACAGCUCUCAAAGGGCUCCCGGUGUUUAUGAGAGAAAAAUCAGAAAACUUUCUGAGGACUUGCCUGGACACAGAGCCAGAAGACCAAUACACAAAGGGGAUGAAGAUGGGCAUCUUAAGUAUCGUCAAAGACAAUGUUGGUACCAUCCAUUCCAGUCCAAAUGUAAGGUGUCUAUCUGUUGUUCUUGAGGAGCUAGUUGUGCUGGAUAAUGUCCAAGACCUUCCCACUGCUGUUGUUCUCCUGUUUGGGUUGAUUUACUGCCUGAACAUGAACUAUCCCAAAGAACUUAAAUACACUUUUGAAACUGUUCAAAAAGUGUUUAUUGGCCUUGACCCCCAGUGCUCACAACGGGUCCAGUCAUUCAAAAACAAAGUAAUGUCUAUGUAGCUGCAGUCAAUAAGCAAGGCAAGCACUAAUUUGUUCUUCCAGUUCUUCCCAUUCAGAAACUUAAGAUUUGAGUUUUAAUGUAAGGUGAAAUGUUGUUUUAACAGUUUGUUACUUGAUUACUUUAGCAAGUUUGUUGCAUGGAUGUGCUAAAUGUAAGACAACAUUUUAAAAUACCAUUUAAGGUGUGUUGUAACGGUUUUAUCAGCAUUUUAAGCUUGAUACUGUAGCACUUUAAGACAAAUGUUUUUACUCCAGCACUUUAAAAUAAUUUGUGUUGUAUAAUGCCAGCACUUUAAAAGCAUUGCAAGAUUGUAGGAUAGUAGAACUUUACAUGUUGAUGAUUAGAGUAGAACUCUAGAAAAUGUGUUGCAAAGUUUGAAUAAAAAAUGUUUGUAAUGUUGAAAGUCUUUGCAUUGUAUUUACAGUAAUCCCUGCAUUUGGAUUCUUAUAAUGUCAGGGCCAUUUAAUAAUUUGGGUGACAAAAUAGUAUGUAAAAUU